CCUACGGGUGGCAGCAGUGAGGAAUAUUGGUCAAUGGACGAGAGUCUGAACCAGCCAAGUAGCGUGAGGGAUGACUGCACUGUGGAUUGUAAACUUCUUUUAUCAAGGAAUAAAACGAGGCACGUGUGCCUUUUUGCGUGUACUUUAUGAAUAAGGAUCGGCUAACUCCGUGCCAGCAGCCGCGGUAAUACGGAGGAUCCGAGCGUUAUCCGGAUUUAUUGGGUUUAAAGGGAGCGUAGAGGGGUUGUUAAGUCAGUUGGGAAAGUUUGCGGCUCAACCGUAAAAGUGCAAUUGAUACUGGCAGGCGUGAGUAGAGUUGAGGUAGGCGGAAUGCGUGGUGUAGCGGUGAAAUGCUUAGAUAUCACGAAGAACCCCGAUUGCGAAGGCAGCUUACCAACCUGUGACUGACAUUGAUGCUCGAAAGUGUGGGUAUCGAACAGGAUUAGAUACCCGAGUAGUC
This 460-nucleotide ribosomal RNA is filed under the name uncultured bacterium. RNAcentral's name for it is "partial 16S ribosomal RNA". It matches the Rfam family "Bacterial small subunit ribosomal RNA", at positions 338 to 795 of the family's 1533-position model. The record is from RNAcentral.